Molecule: long non-coding RNA, 476 nt
Organism: Pongo pygmaeus (Bornean orangutan)
Lineage: Eukaryota; Metazoa; Chordata; Mammalia; Primates; Hominidae
Exons: 2
Source: RefSeq, a predicted model, not a curated record
GGUUGUGGGGGAAGGGUGGUGAAUCUCAGUGGGCCCAGGCAUGUGGCUCCAGUUUUCCUUCCCAGUUUUCCAGUGGGCCUGGGCAUGUGGCAUUCCAAGGAUCCUGAAAGAAUAGGACAUCUCUUUUGCAGGUCACAGGAAAUGGGUAGCUAUCCAGCUAAACAGAUUUCAUGCUUGACUUCAGUGGAAUAGCUCAAAUGAUGAUCUGUUUGGGAGAGUAAAUUAAAGAGUUUCCAUCCAAGGUUGGUUGAAUCCACAGAUGCGGAACCCACAGAUAUAGAGGCCAACCAUACUGAGUCCUGACUUCACCCAUUCCUUCUACCCCCAUCUCUCCUAAUCCUUAAACUUCCUGGCAAUUCCUGGAGCAGAAUACUCAUGAAGGAGUCAGGGGUUGUCUUCCCUUCCUAGAAGCAAUGCUUCUAUGUUCUCAUUUGAUGUUGAAUAAAACAUUAAACAGAAAAGCUUUGAUAACAUCA